This 476-nucleotide ribosomal RNA is filed under the name uncultured Bacteroidota bacterium. RNAcentral's name for it is "bacterial SSU rRNA". It matches the Rfam family "Bacterial small subunit ribosomal RNA", at positions 25 to 488 of the family's 1533-position model. Lineage: Bacteria; Pseudomonadati; Bacteroidota. The record is from RNAcentral.
CAUGAUGAACGCUAGCUACAGGCUUAACACAUGCAAGUCGAGGGGAAACGACAUCGAAAGCUUGCUUUUGAUGGGCGUCGACCGGCGCACGGGUGAGUAACGCGUAUCCAACCUGCCCAUCACUUGGGGAUAACCUUGCGAAAGUAAGACUAAUACCCAAUGACGUCUCUAGAAGACAUCUGAAAGAGAUUAAAGAUAUAUCGGUGAUGGAUGGGGAUGCGUCUGAUUAGCUUGUUGGCGGGGUAACGGCCCACCAAGGCAACGAUCAGUAGGGGUUCUGAGAGGAAGGUCCCCCACAUUGGAACUGAGACACGGUCCAAACUCCUACGGGAGGCAGCAGUGAGGAAUAUUGGUCAAUGGGCGAGAGCCUGAACCAGCCAAGUAGCGCGCAGGAUGACGGCCCUAUGGGUUGUAAACUGCUUUUAUAAGGGAAUAAAGUGAGUCUCGUGAGACUUUUUGCAUGUACCUUAUGAAUA